UACGUAGGGUGCGAGCGUUAUUCGGAAUUACUGGGCGUAAAGCGUGCGCAGGCGGUCCGCAAAGUCUGAUGUGAAAGCCCCGGGCUCAACCUGGGAACUGCAUUGGAAACUAACGGGCUCGAGUGUGGCAGAGGGGGGUGGAAUUCCACGUGUAGCAGUGAAAUGCGUAGAGAUGUGGAGGAACACCGAUGGCGAAGGCAGCCCGCUGGGCUAACACUGACGCUCAGGCACGAAAGCGUGGGGAGCAAACAGG
RNAcentral lists this ribosomal RNA (253 nucleotides) under uncultured bacterium. Its description in RNAcentral is "partial 16S ribosomal RNA". It matches the Rfam family "Bacterial small subunit ribosomal RNA", at positions 524 to 776 of the family's 1533-position model. The record is from RNAcentral.